GACGAACCGAGCGACCGUUAUUCGGAAUCACUGGGCUUAAAGGGCGCGUAGGCGGGCCGUCAAGUCGAGGGUGAAAUCCCCCAGCUCAACUGGGGAAGUGCCUCCGAUACUGGCGGCCUCGAGGGGGAUAGGGGCAUGCGGAACUUCCGGUGGAGCGGUGAAAUGCGUAGAUAUCGGAAGGAACACCGGUGGCGAAAGCGGCGUGCUGGAUCCCUUCUGACGCUGAGGCGCGAAAGCCAGGGGAGCGAACGGG
Molecule: ribosomal RNA, 253 nt
Filed under: uncultured bacterium
Lineage: Bacteria
Description: partial 16S ribosomal RNA
Rfam family: Bacterial small subunit ribosomal RNA
Source: RNAcentral